This 253-nucleotide ribosomal RNA is filed under the name uncultured bacterium. RNAcentral's name for it is "partial 16S ribosomal RNA". It matches the Rfam family "Bacterial small subunit ribosomal RNA", at positions 524 to 776 of the family's 1533-position model. The record is from RNAcentral.
GACAGAGGUCCCGAGCGUUGUUCGGCUUCACGGGGAGUAAAGGGUGCGUCGGCGGUUGGGUAAGUCCGACGUGAAAUCCCGUGGCUUAACCACGGAAUUGCGUUGGAAACUAUCCAGCUCGAGGGUUGGAGAGGGGACUGGAAUUCUCGGUGUAGCAGUGAAAUGCGUAGAUAUCGAGAAGAACACCGGUGGCGAAGGCGAGUCCCUGGACAACUCCUGACGCUGAGGCACGAAAGCUAGGGGAGCAAACAGG